UGCCAGCCGCCGCGGUAAUACGAAGGGUGCUAGCGUUAAUCGGAAUUACUGGGCGUAAAGGGUGCGCAGGCGGACCAAUUAGUCAGGGGUGAAAUCCCGGGGCUCAACCCCGGAACUGCCUUUGAUACUGUUGGUCUUGAAUACGGUUGGAGUAGGCGGAAUGUAGCAUGUAGCGGUGAAAUGCAUAGAGAUGCUACAGAACACCGAUCGCGAAGGCAGCUUACUAAGCCGAUAUUGACGCUCAGGCACGAAAGCGUGGGGAGCGAACGGGAUUAGAUA
Molecule: ribosomal RNA, 279 nt
Filed under: uncultured bacterium
Lineage: Bacteria
Description: partial 16S ribosomal RNA
Rfam family: Bacterial small subunit ribosomal RNA
Source: RNAcentral